CCCUUAGAUGUUCUGGGCCGCACGCGCGCUACACUGAUACAGGCAGCAAGUUAUAUUUCCCCUUGGCUGAGAGGCCUGGGUAAUCUUGUGAAAUUGUAUCGUGAUGGGGAUAGGUCACUGUAAUCGUUGACCUUUAACGAGGAAUUCCUAGUACGCGCAAGUCAUCAGCUUGCAUGGAUUACGUCCCUGCCCUUUGUACACACCGCCCGUCGCUCCUACCGAUUGAGUGGUCCGGUGAGGCUUUGGGAUCUGAGCGGAAAGAGCGUUUCGCUGUUUCUGCUCGGAAAACUCAGUCGAACCUUAUCAUUUAGAGGAAGGAGAAGUCGUAACA
RNAcentral lists this ribosomal RNA (331 nucleotides) under uncultured eukaryote. RNAcentral describes it as "partial 18S ribosomal RNA". It matches the Rfam family "Eukaryotic small subunit ribosomal RNA", at positions 1470 to 1796 of the family's 1831-position model. The record is from RNAcentral.